CUCAGCCAACGCCAAGGAACGGCUAUGUUGUCAGAGGUGAAAUGUGUUUAUGUGUGUGACAAUAAACAGCCUUGGCGGUCUCGGUAAGAUGCCUCCGCGGGGUAUCCCCGAGAAUGAAUUUUUGGCAAGGGUCAAGUUUUGAAAAGUGCAUAAGCCAUUUUGAGUAAUUGAAUGAAAUCCAAUUAUUUAUAUGGGUUGAGAUGAAUUAUUUUAAUUGUCUCCUAUUACUCGGCUUUAGAUUAUUUUGAUGAUGUCUGUCGACUCACUGGGAUUAUGUAAUCAUAAUCUCACCCCUCUUCCUAUCCAUUUUUCAGGCUCAGGACAAUUUGUUGAUAGUUGAUUAAGACGAGAAUUAAUCUCGGAGUUGCAUCCUAAAAAGUAAGGGUUCAUAGCCCUACAUCUUCUUAGUUAGUUGGGGGCCCACGUGUCACUGUAAAAGUAAUUUUAUUCUUCAGUUAUUUGAUUUAAAGUAUGUAUGAAUAUAUUUAGCUUUUACACCAUGUUUUUGGCGAGUUUCGGUAUUUUCAAAGAAAAAUGACGAAAAUGCCCC
Molecule: long non-coding RNA, 550 nt
Filed under: Theobroma cacao (cacao)
Lineage: Eukaryota; Viridiplantae; Streptophyta; Magnoliopsida; Malvales; Malvaceae
Description: long non-coding RNA (TCAC_LNC001421)
Source: RNAcentral